RNAcentral lists this ribosomal RNA (253 nucleotides) under uncultured bacterium. RNAcentral's name for it is "partial 16S ribosomal RNA". It matches the Rfam family "Bacterial small subunit ribosomal RNA", at positions 524 to 776 of the family's 1533-position model. The record is from RNAcentral.
UACGUAGGGGGCAAGCGUUGUCCGGAAUCAUUGGGCGUAAAGAGCGUGUAGGCGGCCAGAUAAGUCCGCUGUGAAAACUCGAGGCUCAACUUCGAGCUGUCGGCGGAAACUAUCUGGCUAGAGUCCGGAAGAGGAGAGUGGAAUUCCUGGUGUAGCGGUGAAAUGCGCAGAUAUCAGGAGGAACACCGAUGGCGAAGGCAGGUCUCUGGGCUGACACUGACGCUCAUGCACGAAAGCGUGGGGAGCAAACAGG